This 458-nucleotide ribosomal RNA is filed under the name uncultured bacterium. Its description in RNAcentral is "bacterial SSU rRNA". It matches the Rfam family "Bacterial small subunit ribosomal RNA", at positions 29 to 533 of the family's 1533-position model. The record is from RNAcentral.
AACGAACGCUGGCGGCAUGCCUAACACAUGCAAGUCGAACGAGACCUUCGGGUCUAGUGGCGCACGGGUGCGUAACACGUUGGAAUUUGCCUCGGGGUAUGGAAUAACUCAGGGAAACUUGAGCUAAUACCAUAUAAUGUCUUCGGACCAAAGAUUUAUCGCCCUGAGAUAAGCCCGCGUAGGAUUAGCUAGUUGGUGGGGUAAAGGCUCACCAAGGCGACGAUCCUUAGCUGGUCUGAGAGGAUGAUCAGCCACACUGGGACUGAGACACGGCCCAGACUCCUACGGGAGGCAGCAGUGGGAAUAUUGGACAAUGGGCGAAAGCCUGAUCCAGCAAUGCCGCGUGAGUGAUGAAGGCCUUAGGGUUGUAAAGCUCUUUUACCCGGGAUGAUAAUGACAGUACCGGAGAAUAAGCUCCGGCUAACCUCCGUGCCAGCAGCCGCGGUAAUGUGACUACU